Molecule: long non-coding RNA, 2479 nt
Filed under: Zea mays
Lineage: Eukaryota; Viridiplantae; Streptophyta; Magnoliopsida; Poales; Poaceae
Description: long non-coding RNA (ZMAY_LNC005509)
Source: RNAcentral
CUUGGUCGCCGCCCCCCUGCCGAUCUCCUCCUCUCUCAAUUCUUGCAGCCACCAAACCCUAGCCGCCCCCCUCUCAAUCCCCUUCUCCCAAGGUGCCAAUCCUUGCCGCUCGGAUCAUCGUCGUCGUGGUGCGAGUCUUCAAUCGUUUUGGUGGAGGGAAGAAGGGAGGAAGGAAAGGGGGGAGAAUCCAAGGUGAUUUUUGUGUUCAUCCCUUGUUCAUUUGCGCUGCAAUUUAAUUGAUUAGAGGUUGCGUUUGCGAUUGGGGUAGAGGGGGGCUGUCCAGAAUUUUAGGUGGUAGGUGAACAGCAGUAGUCUAGCAGUUUCUGUGUUUUUUUCGUGAGGAAUUAAGGGAAAUCAGUUUGGGGAUCAUGUAGAACUUUACCUUACCUUUCCAACGAGUAUUUAUGCGCUCAAUUUGGAGUUAUAAAUUGAACGUUAUCACCGUUUGAAUCCGGGUAUGUGGCUGUCCAAAAAAACAGAUUUUUCAGGGGGAUGAACAGCAGCAGUAUUAGCAGUUUCUGGGGAUUUUUCGGAAGUAAUUAGUGUUAAUCAGUACGAGAAUCAUGUAGGGAUUUAUGUUAUAUUUCCAACAAGUACUUAUGUGCUCGAUUCGGAGUUAUAAUUCAGGAGAUAUCGUUGUUUGAAUCCGGUUAUUUGCUGUCCAAAAAAACAGAUUUUUCAGGGGAUGAACAGCAGCAGUAUUAGCAGUUUCUGGGGAUUUUUCGGGAGUAAUUAGUGUUAAUCAGUAUGAGAAUCAUGUAGGGCUUUAUGUUAUCUUUCCAACAAGUACUUAUGCGCUCGAUUCGGAGUUAUAAUUCAGGAGAUAUCGUUGUUUGAAUCCGGUUAUGUUGCUGUCCAAAAAAACAGAUUUUUCAGGUGGGUGAACAGCAGUGGUAUUAUCAGUUUCUGGGAAUUUUUCGUGGGUAAUUAGUGUUAACCAGUAUGGUAAUCAUGUAGGGAUUUGUCUUAUCUUUCCAAUGAGUACUUAUGCGCUUGAUUUGGAAUUAUAUUUUAAAAGAUACCGCUGUUUGAAUCUGGGUAUGUCGCUGUCCAAAAGACAAAGAAAAACAGAUUACAGGGUGCAUCUUGUGGACUGUUUUGGGCUAAUUAGAUAUUGGAAUUUAAUUAUAAAUUGUAUACAAAACUUGUGGGGAAUUUUAUGUAGAUGCCUCUGGAGUUUUUGUUUGUUACCACUGCUGUCAUAAUUUUAAAGUUAUGAAAUUAUUAAGCAGCGCCGCUGCAGUUUGGUGGGUGUAGGGAGAGAUGUAACCCGCGGCGGGGAUUGAGUUUGUGCGUAGGUGUGGCGUCGCUUAUGAGCCUGAUUAUGUGAAAUUGGUGUACUAAGUUGGGUGUCAAAAACAGGUGGUGGGCUUCCGGAUCGUACUUGGGAUUUGCCCGAACUUCCGGUAAAGGCAAGUAAAUACAGUGGUGGUUGCUACCGUUUGGUUUGCAUCCUAUUCCCUCUCAUUGAGUAUGCAUAAGUUUUAAUUAUGUUAAUCAUUGAAUUCUAUGAUGAAGUUUAUUUGUUUGGAAGUAUUAAUUCUCAAUUGUCUAAUAUUGUGGAUGAUCAUAAUUUGGUAAUGAUAUAUGUGGUUGAUUCCCAUCUGGAUGAAGUUGAAGUGUCUUUUUGAAUCAUGUUAUAUGAAGUGUUGUAGGCAUGACAUGCGCAUCGCAUCAUCCAUCUUGCAUUUUGAAGUUAUGUCGUGAUCUUAUGGUUCGACCGUACCGGUACAUUUUUAGCAUCGUACGUUGCCCGAGGAGGGGUACGAUGCGGCUUCAUAUCCUUAGAGGUAUGAAGGCAGAAGUCAUCCUUGCAUUUGCAGACAUUUGCACUCAUGAGGAAUAUAUGAAGUGUGACAUUACUAUGUUACUAUUGUGGUUUCUACCUGCGAGGUGUGGUAACUAGGUGCGUUGUACGUUGUAUACGUGCUGCACCUUCGUAAUAUGAAGGUUGUGGAAUUAAGUGGUGGUAAAACAAUGUUCUUAUGUGGUUAAAUUGUUUGAUAUUAUUUUACUUGCUGAGAUAUGUCAUCUCACUCUUGCAUUACUCAAUGCAGGUACUUGAUACAUGUUGGGAAUGAGGGGAGUAGCAGCACGUCCACUUUCACUCUCACAAUAACGCUGCCCAGGCGCAGCCAUGAUUUAAUUAGAAACUUAUUGUCAAAGGAAGUUUGUUUAUUUUUUUAUAUGGUCGUGCGCACUGGUUAAUUCAGUUCAGGUCGUAUGUUUAUCUUUCCUUGCUAGCCGAGUAAUAAUACUUAGUAUGUUUUAGUCAUGAUAUAUGUUUAUACUCCGUUGCUCCCUCUUUUAUGCAAUCUUGCAAAGGGGAUGCUGCCGAAAUUUUAUAUAUGGACGUCGGAAGUGUAGUACAGUAGCAUACCGGGUUGUUUGUGGAACCUGGAGUGUUACAGUUGGUAUCAGAGGAUAGGCUUUAGAUUCUACGCAAUUUGAAGAUAAAUUUGACACACUUGCACAUAUA